Molecule: transfer RNA, 74 nt
Filed under: Candidatus Altimarinota bacterium
Lineage: Bacteria; Candidatus Altimarinota
Also listed under: 1 other name
Description: tRNA-Gly
Rfam family: tRNA
About the family: Transfer RNA (tRNA) molecules are approximately 80 nucleotides in length. Their secondary structure includes four short double-helical elements and three loops (D, anti-codon, and T loops).
Source: RNAcentral
GCGGGUAUAGUUUAGUGGUAGAAUGUGACCUUCCCAAGGUUAAGAUAUGAGUUCGAUUCUCAUUACCCGCUCCA